AGCUUGUCAAUGAUGUUUAGAUAUGUUUAAUAAGAAACAUAUGAACUUCAUAUUGAUUUCAGUGCUGAGAUAAGCU
Molecule: small nucleolar RNA, 76 nt
Organism: Oxyura jamaicensis (ruddy duck)
Lineage: Eukaryota; Metazoa; Chordata; Aves; Anseriformes; Anatidae
Product: small nucleolar RNA SNORD72
Exons: 1
Source: RefSeq, a predicted model, not a curated record